This 484-nucleotide ribosomal RNA is filed under the name uncultured organism. Its description in RNAcentral is "bacterial SSU rRNA". It matches the Rfam family "Bacterial small subunit ribosomal RNA", at positions 29 to 507 of the family's 1533-position model. The record is from RNAcentral.
AACGAACGCUGACGGUGUGCCUCAUACAUGCAAGUCGAGCGGGCUCAGCAAUGGGUCAGCGGCGGACGGGUGAGUAACACGUGAACAAUCUGCCCCCGAAUUUGGGAUAACGGCUCCAACGAGCCGCUAAUACCGGAUAGGUUUUCCUUGUCACCUGGCAGGGUUAAGAAAGUUGCAAUUGCAACGUUCGGGGAUGAGUUCGCGGCCCAUUAGCUAGUUGGCGGGGUAAUGGCCCACCAAGGCGACGAUGGGUAGCCGGCCUGAGAGGGUGAUCGGCCACAUUGGGACUGAGAUACGGCCCAGACUCCUACGGGAGGCAGCAGUAGGGAAUUUUGCGCAAUGGACGAAAGUCUGACGCAGCAACACCGUGUGAGGGAUGAAGCAUUUCGGUGUGUAAACCUCUGUCGAUGAUGAAUAAAGCAUGUGGGAGUGGAAAGCCCAUGUGUUGAAGGUAAUCAUGAAGGAAGCACCGGCUAACUCUGUG